This 253-nucleotide ribosomal RNA is filed under the name uncultured bacterium. RNAcentral describes it as "partial 16S ribosomal RNA". It matches the Rfam family "Bacterial small subunit ribosomal RNA", at positions 524 to 776 of the family's 1533-position model. The record is from RNAcentral.
UACGUAGGGAGCGAGCGUUGUCCGGAUUUACUGGGUGUAAAGGGCGUGUAGGCGGAGGAGCAAGUCAGAAGUGAAAUCUCCGGGCUUAACCCGGAAACUGCUUUUGAAACUGUUCCCCUUGAGUAUCGGAGAGGCAGGCGGAAUUCCGUGUGUAGCGGUGAAAUGCGUAGAUAUACGGAGGAACACCAGUGGCGAAGGCGGCCUGCUGGACGACAACUGACGCUGAGGCGCGAAAGCGUGGGGAGCAAACAGG